UCUAAACUCGGGUUCAGAGUGAUGCCGC
RNAcentral lists this non-coding RNA (28 nucleotides) under Mus musculus (house mouse). Lineage: Eukaryota; Metazoa; Chordata; Mammalia; Rodentia; Muridae. The record is from RNAcentral.